This 378-nucleotide ribosomal RNA is filed under the name Siphlaenigma janae. RNAcentral's name for it is "partial 12S ribosomal RNA". The record is from RNAcentral. Lineage: Eukaryota; Metazoa; Arthropoda; Insecta; Ephemeroptera; Siphlaenigmatidae.
ACGAUUAGAUACCCUAUUAUUCUAAUUGUUAAAUAAAGCCUUAGAGUAGUAAUAGUUAUGAUCUUGAAACUUAAAGAAUUUGGCGGUGUUUUAGUCCAAUCAGAGGAAUUUGUCCCAUAAUCGAUAAUCCCCGAUAAUUUUACUUGAUUUUGUUUUCAGCUUGUAUACCGCCGUCAAAAGAAUAUAUUUAAAAAUUAUAUUCAAUUUUUUGAAUUAAAAUAAAUGUCAGGUCAAGGUGCAGUUUAUAAUUAAGUGGUGAUGAAUUACAAUAAUAAUUAAUUAAUACGAAUUUUAAUUUGUAAUAAUUGAAUGAAGGUGGAUUUGGGUGUAAUAUAAAUUAAAAAAUUUUAAUGAUAAAGGCUCUAAAACAUGUACACA